CAGUCUGAAACGCGAUCCGGAUUCGCCUUUGGAAUGUUUAGAUUUCGCCUUGCACUUGGACAUUGCUUGGAGCUCUACUGGACAGACAACAGUAAAUAAGACUCACAAGACAAAAUGACAUGCACACACAGAGCGCUUGCUGAAGACGCGAAGCUGAUGCCAGCUGCGCGGCAUGUGCUUUUAUAGCUUCCUGGUCGCUUACGUCACCCCGCCCGUGACGUCACGCUCUUCCAUUGGACUGAUUUCACACGAUAUUCAGAGUCGCUCACGCUAGACGCGUUCCCCAAAGCGCUCGACGCAGCUCGAGUUCCUGAAGAGGAACUUAAAUUACACUUUCAGUUUUGGUCAUACAGAUAAGAGCAAUACAUCAAUCGAAUCUGUAAAUGGUCUACUAUUAUACACUGCAUUCUUUUACUCACUGUUUCUUGCAUUAAAUGGCAGAGUUGUGUCUACCGUUGAGUGCAGGUGAGGACGCGUUUGAGCUGCACUCGGUGCAUCUCGAGCUGGAGGCCAAGGGGAAGCAGAUCCGAAGCAGGCCCAGUCGAGGGAGCGGAGAGCCGCGCUGGAAACAUCCCAGGCUGAUGCUCACAAGUCCGGGGGAUCCCGACAGAAAGAUAUGAAACUGUGUAUGAGAAAAUGUAGAUUGAGGGCCAGCUGCCCAGCCAGAUGCCGGUGGGAGUCGUGCCGGCAUUCCCAGCCCUGAGCUCUGCGUAGAAACAGUCCAAUCCCACAGACACGUGUGCUUAAAUCAUGCAAACAUCUUUUGGAUCUGUGAACCAAAACACAAGCCCGCAAUGAGCCUGGUGAGAUGAAACAAGCUCUCGUGGAAUGUCAUACGAGGCCUGAUUUGCUGUUGCAAUUAAGUUUUAUCAUUCUGAAAAUUCACGUUUUACAAGAUGAAUUGACUUUUGCAGCAUAAAAAUCUUGAAAAUCCUCAUAAAAGGAGAUACAAUGAGAUGACCAGAGGGGCUUUUGGGAAGCACUUCACAGGGAGAUGAGAAGAGAGGGGGAGAGGCAUGCUGAGAGACAGACUGAGAGAGAGAUGGAGAGAUAGCAAGACAGAGGAAGAGCAGAACACAAGGGAUCUUCUGAGGAAGAGAGAGAGAAACAGAGAAAAGGAU
Cyprinus carpio carpio is the source of this 1121-nucleotide long non-coding RNA. Lineage: Eukaryota; Metazoa; Chordata; Actinopteri; Cypriniformes; Cyprinidae. The record is from Ensembl.